UUUCCGUAGGUGAACCUGCGGAAGGAUCAUUCAUAAUAAGUGUUUUACUGCACUUUUUAAAAAUCAGUAUUCACCUUGUGUGCAAUGUUUGCUGACGAGUUCGCGUUUUUGCGGGUUCUUGGCAGUAUAAUACUAACCCUUUAUUGAAAUUUUUUGUCUGAAAUUUUUUGAAUACAUAAUUCGAAAUACAACUUUUAACAACGGAUCUCUUGGCUCUC
This 218-nucleotide unclassified non-coding RNA is filed under the name plant metagenome. RNAcentral describes it as "partial contains small subunit ribosomal RNA, internal transcribed spacer 1, and 5.8S ribosomal RNA". The record is from RNAcentral.